Small nuclear RNA from Zalophus californianus (California sea lion), 107 nucleotides. The record is from Ensembl. NCBI's taxonomy places the organism in Eukaryota, Metazoa, Chordata, Mammalia, Carnivora, Otariidae.
AUGCUCACUUCAGCAGCACGUAUACUAAAGUUGGAACAUUACAGAGAAGAUUAGCAUGGCCCCUGUGCAAGGAUGACAUACAAAUUAGUUAAGUGUUCCACAUUAAA